GGGAGGGAAUCUUCCCAACAGCCAGCGUCCCUGCUCACAGGGAGUGGAUCUUCCCAAAGGCCAGUGUUCCUGCACAGAGCGAGGGGAUCCUCCCCACAGCCAGCGUCCCUGUGGAGAAUGGAAACAAUCAUCCACAACCACCUCCCAUCAUCCCCAUGUUGGCACCACUGUGGAAAUGGGAUGGUGGAGUGUGUACUCCACCUGUGGAUUUCUAUUCCAAGAGAAGAGAUGUCCGGCUUAGAUAUGUUGAGCAUCCUGCUAUGAUGUCCAUCACCAAGCCAGAACACUCCGAGGCCAACCCUCAGUGCCAGACUGGCAGCCGGCCGGUGGCUGAGCCCGAGACCCCUGCUGUUCACAAGAACAGUGGAAGCUGGCUCAGCUGGGUCUUUGGGAGUGGAAAAGUUAAUAAGAAGGAGGUUCAUCUACCUGAGGACAAAGACAGAUCUAUUGUCUGGGAUCCAACUCUGCACAGAUGGGUUGACAAAACUGAGCCCAAGGCUGAGGUAUACACUUAAAUUACAUUCAAUAAAAAGCAGUGAAAGACC
Molecule: long non-coding RNA, 545 nt
Organism: Coregonus clupeaformis (lake whitefish)
Lineage: Eukaryota; Metazoa; Chordata; Actinopteri; Salmoniformes; Salmonidae
Exons: 3
Source: RefSeq, a predicted model, not a curated record